Molecule: non-coding RNA, 207 nt
Filed under: Ligilactobacillus saerimneri
Lineage: Bacteria; Bacillati; Bacillota; Bacilli; Lactobacillales; Lactobacillaceae
Description: Lactobacillus saerimneri T-box sequence
Rfam family: T-box leader
About the family: Uncharged tRNA acts as the effector for transcription antitermination of genes in the T-box leader family. T-boxes are found upstream of many aminoacyl-tRNA synthetase genes and some amino acid biosynthetic genes usually in Gram-positive bacteria.
Source: RNAcentral
CUAUAAGCGCUGAGCAAGAGGACUAAUAGUGGUGCUUUUUAGAGAGAAGCUGGUUGGUGUAAAGCUUCAAGAACGCUGUUAGUUGUAGCUUGUGAGCUGUCUACCUGAACGACGAGAGUAAGGUAGACCGGUUUACGUCCGUUAACUAGUAUUUGAGAGGGGUUAAAAGCCCAAAUUAGGUGGUACCACGGCACUGUCGUCCUAUGC